Molecule: ribosomal RNA, 440 nt
Filed under: uncultured bacterium
Lineage: Bacteria
Description: partial 16S ribosomal RNA
Rfam family: Bacterial small subunit ribosomal RNA
Source: RNAcentral
CCUACGGGAGGCAGCAGUGGGGAAUAUUGCACAAUGGGGGAAACCCUGAUGCAGCGACGCCGCGUGAGUGAAGAAGUAAUUCGGUAUGUAAAGCUCUAUCAGCAGGGAAGAAAAUAACGGUACCUGAGUAAGAAGCCCCGACUAACUACGUGCCAGCAGCAGCGGUAAUACGUAGGUGGCAAGCGUUAUCCGGAUUUACUAGGUGUAAAGGGAGCGUAGACGGCAGUGCAAGUCUGUAGUGAAAGGCGGGGGCUCAACCACCGGACUGCUCUGGAGACUGUACGGCUGGAGUGCAGGAGAGGUAAGUGGAAUUCCUAGUGUAGCGGUGAAAUGCGUAGAUAUUAGGAGGAACACCAGUGGCGAAGGCGGCUUACUGGACUGUAACCGACGUUGAGGCUCGAAAGCGUGGGGAGCAAACAGGAUUAGAUACCCCAGUAGUC